UUUAUAACGGUUAUUUUUCACACAAACUGACGUUGUUAUUCUUUUAAUCCUGUUAUUCUCAGUUACUGCAUAUUUUAUUUCAAAGGUAUAAAGUCACGAAGAUCAAAUAUUCAUAGAUUGGAGACACAGUCUACAAAUACUGUAUAUGCUACAAUUGUGGCCGCAAAACCUGCACAACAAAAAUCUCUCGGAAACACAUCGGAAACAAAGAGUACGACAGUUACAUCAACAAAUAAACAACGAUCCAAAAGUACUGAAUACAACACUAAGAAUUUACAGAAAAUUACACCGAAACCAAUUCAUCGUCCUACCAAGCUAAGCAGCAGCAAUAUAGGCUCUAUUUCAGAUCCAACGACUCAACAAAGACGGAAUUCCUUGAGGGCUUCAAAAACAAAAUACUCCGCUCUUACAAUACAAAACUCUAGCACCACGCCAGAAGACCCCGUGGAAGCACAAAUUGCUUCGGAGUUAAUAAAAGAGUUAAGAGAUGAAGUACCGACAAAAAGACAAAAUAACGAAAAAUUCAAACCUCUAGCAGGAAUUCAAUUUCAAAAUACGUUCAAAAUACAUCUUAGUAGAAGUUCGCGUAUGCCUAUACCGCUGCCGGAAAAUAAUGCUUUUUGCUUUACAAACCCAAACAGCCCUUUAUGUAGGACAUUUAUAUAAUGUAAUAAAAUUAUCCAUAAUCUGUUAACUUGUUAUUGUACAUGUAUCAAAAUUUAAAAAUAAAUACAGUAAA
Long non-coding RNA from Bombyx mori (domestic silkworm), 739 nucleotides. RefSeq lists it as uncharacterized. The transcript is spliced from 3 exons. Lineage: Eukaryota; Metazoa; Arthropoda; Insecta; Lepidoptera; Bombycidae. The record is from RefSeq and is a predicted model, not a curated record.